UAGGGAAUCUUCCACAAUGGGCGCAAGCCUGAUGGAGCAACACCGCGUGAGUGAAGAAGGGUUUCGGCUCGUAAAGCUCUGUUGUUGGAGAAGAACGUGCGUGAGAGUAACUGUUCACGCAGUGACGGUAUCCGACCAGAAAGUCACGGCUAACUACGUGCC
Molecule: ribosomal RNA, 162 nt
Filed under: uncultured bacterium
Lineage: Bacteria
Description: partial 16S ribosomal RNA
Rfam family: Bacterial small subunit ribosomal RNA
Source: RNAcentral